Molecule: long non-coding RNA, 789 nt
Filed under: Mytilus galloprovincialis (Mediterranean mussel)
Lineage: Eukaryota; Metazoa; Mollusca; Bivalvia; Mytilida; Mytilidae
Source: RNAcentral
AUAGAAUAGCUGUGACAAUGACUAAAACAGUUUUGAUUAUCGAAGUCAAGAAUCUCAAAGAUAUAAAAAUAGAAAAUGAGAUAACGUUGCAAAACAUCUUGCAAUGGCGUAGCUUUUAUGAUUCAUACACUUUUUGUUAACUGUUUGGACGGUGAUCUAGUCGUGAUGAUAUAGAUGGAUCGAUUGUACAGAAGCACUCAAAGUAUCCAGGAAUUUGGUAUACUGCAGGAAACGUCGGUUAAGUGUCAAACGAAAUUCGGAACUCGAUAAUUUUUUCAAUGGACAUAUGUUCCAGGUACAGACAGCAAAAUGGAUUGUCAUCGUGGCAUUGCCUACGAUGCCCCCAAAAACGUCAUUGCUGUUAUCAAUAAUGCUGGAAAAUCUAUAUAUAUCUUCAAAAUGAUGUGAAUUUGAAUUACCACUGAUACAUUUACAGUGAUACAGUUUCAGUAAUAGGAUGUUAUUUGUUUUAAAAUUGACAAGACAACUUGUUUAUCUGGUGUGUUAGAAUGUAAUUUUCGCAUGUUAUAAAAAACAAUUAGAAACCAAGUAGAAAGACAAAAGUAAAUGUCGAUGAAGGACAUUCGACACAACGACAAAAAAGGAAAAGACCUAUAAGUGGAAAACGGUAAAAAAUACAAAGUGAUCUAAAACAAUUGCGCUUAACAUCCACUAUCCAAAAUCGCGAGUGUAAGUGGAUGCUUCCAGCCGUAAACAAUAAUGCAACAUUCAAAGCACUUGUUUUAGAACUAUCAAUGUUCAGUUGUAAUCGGUGUUAAUAUGCAUAAG